Molecule: long non-coding RNA, 1356 nt
Organism: Sebastes umbrosus (honeycomb rockfish)
Lineage: Eukaryota; Metazoa; Chordata; Actinopteri; Perciformes; Sebastidae
Exons: 6
Source: RefSeq, a predicted model, not a curated record
UCUUCCAUGAUAUAUCAUGGCUCAACUUUUGGCAUAAUGCAGCGUCAUCCGGUGAGGUACUGUGUUGAACAUUCAUGCAAUCGCACAUCCCUGGUAGAUCACUUUGUAACAUCAAGGCCAUAUUUAUACUGUUUACUUCGCAACCAUUGUGACGAAACAUGAAAUAGUUGCUGCCGUAAUAAAGUUCCAGGGUUGUAAAAUCCUGUCUGUGAGUAUUAGAAACUGUUGUGGAGGUGUUUUGUCAUCUGAUAAACCUUUCAAAGCAUAAAUCUGUUACUCCAACAUGAUGUCUUGGAUCAGAUAUCAUGCCGUUGCUCUCACCAACACAGCCUCCUGUGUUGUUUUUAAACAGAAAUGGUGAUUGGACACUGGCCCCACCGGCAUCCGACAUCGGAAAGCUGCGGGAGGAGAUGGUUUCUGAAGCUAGUCGACAGUCCGACCAGAACUUCUGAUGGAGUAUACUUGUCCCUUAAUGAUGAGCACUGUAGACUCUAACUGCAACAAACUGGGUUCAAAUCUCAUUGAACCCUCAUUUUUAUGAAAUGGUGAUUGGACACUGGCCCCACCGGCAUCCGACCUCGGAAAGCUGCGGGAGGAGAUGGUUUCUGAAGCUAGUCGACAGUCCGACCAGAACUUCUGAUGGAGUAUACUUGUCCCUUAAUGAUGAGCACUGUAGACUCUAACUGCAACAAACUGGGUUCAAAUCUCAUUGAACCCUCAUUUUUAUGAAAUGGUGAUUGGACACUGGCCCCACCGGCAUCCGACAUCGGAAAGCUGCGGGAGGAGAUGGUUUCUGAAGCUAGUCGACAGUCCGACCAGAACUUCUGAUGGAGUAUACUUGUCCCUUAAUGAUGAGCACUGUAGACUCUAACUGCAACAAACUGGGUUCAAAUCUCAUUGAACCCUCAUUUUUAUGAAAUGGUGAUUGGACACUGGCCCCACCGGCAUCCGACCUCGGAAAGCUGCGGGAGGAGAUGGUUUCUGAAGCUAGUCGACAGUCCGACCAGAACUUCUGAUGGAGUAUACUUGUCCCUUAAUGAUGAGCACUGUAGACUCUAACUGCAACAAACUGGGUUCAAAUCUCAUUGAACCCUCAUUUUUAUGAUCAGGUCCCACCGAGAUUUGAACUCGGAUCGCUGGAUUCAGAGUCCAGAGUGCGCUUCAUCACACCAUGGAACCACUGCAACGUUGACACCCUACACAGUAAAAGACACCUGAUGUCAGAAGUGGGAUUCGAACCCACGCCUCCAGAGGAGACUGCGACCUGAACGCAGCGCCUUAGACCGCUCGGCCAUCCUGACUGAAAAAGUGCCAUGUUUGAUUGAAUUUUUUUUUAGAUAUCAUGAUAUAGCACAU